AUAGAAUACAUCGUGUGUCUACCCGGCCCGCUAUAUAUGAGAGGUCUAGGAUACAAGUGUCUUAUUACACUACUGGAAAUUAGGUCAUUAACGAUGAGCUACGAACAAUACUUGGUCGUUACUGUUAGGGCGGGCCAACACAUGUCCAACUUGCGCACGCGAGAACCCAUAGUAUUAGCUGGUGGUCGUCAUUGCAAUCUCCUUAUCUUAUCUUUUUUGAGUAGUUAACAAUUUAUUUAAUAUUAAUCGGUGAAAAGGAUAAAUAUCAACGUAUUGAGUCUAGGUUUCUUAUCUUAACCUAAUAACUAAGGUGGCCCCUUUGACCGAAACAGGACGCUUGCCUCGAUUCAGAUCGGCCCGCCAAUGGCGUCGACGGCGGCUUUCGAGAAGGGUUGCCGGAUGCCGGAGGAGGCAGAGGCCGAUGCGCUGCUGGUACAGAAGGUGGGCGUGCUGCCCUCCGGGUUCCACGACGCCUUCGUGCUCCGCUACAUCCGCGUCCACGCGUCUGGCCCAGCCGCCUCCUCUGCCACUUCACCGUCACCACCCGCCUCCUCGUGAGCCCCCCUCCCACCUGCAGCCAGAUCUAAUCUUCUUCCCGUCCCCUCCCCUGCUCAAUUCCUGCUAGAUGCUUGCUAAUUAUUUCACGCAGUACCCAAAACCAAGCAUGAUUUAGUUUCCUCAUCUACUCCCUCCGUCCCAAAAUUCUUGUCUUAGAUUUGUCUAAAUCCGGAUGUAUCAAGUCACGUUUUAGUAUUAGAUACAUCCGUAUCUAGACAAAUGUAAGACAAGAAUUUUGAGACGGAGGGAGUACUACUGUACUACUUUCGCUGGCACUUCUCUGCAAAAUUACCUUCCCUCUGUACUGUAGCUGAAAAACAAGUUGUGCCAUCAUCCAUGUAGCAGCUUGUGUACUACUGCAUUUUGCUGAUGGUUGUGUAAUUGAAUUCUCAAUUCCUGCUGGAUUUUGCUAAUUAUGGCACUAGUACUGAACCCCAAGCAUAAUUUUGCAUCUACUAUUAUUCUACAUCCAUCGUCAUUUCUUCAAAAAAUAUUAUCUUUCCACUGUAUACCCGAGGAAUUUAAUUUUCGUAAUAACUGCAUAGUUCCAUUCCCUCGUCUAAUUGUUCACUGGAAAAAUAACUUGUACCAUCAUGCAUAGAACAGCCAGUUUGUUUACCGCGUUUUGUUGAGUGUUGCUGAGAUGAUGCAUUUUUUGUGAUGGUUGUGUUACUGAGAAAUCAUAGAACUCAGGCAACUUCCUGCAAGGGGCGCGACUGCAUUGCUGGUUUACUUGAUGGGCUCUGUUGUACACCGAUGGGUCACAAACCAGGGUCUCACCACUAGAGAUGAACAUCUACCUAGAUACUGCAUUUUCUGAUGUGAGUGACUAUCUUACUCAGUCGGAAUUGGAUGCGAAAUAAUACAUGUGGUGGUUCAUCAACAUCACUUCUCAAGGUUAGUCAUAUGGUUUGUAUAAUGGACCUAUAGCUCGUUCUUGUCUUUUUCAGAACGGAUGGUUCACAAUAAUAGGAGCAUCACAAGACAUUGUAGUCAUUGGUGAAGAAUGAUAUGCAGUGAAACACAAGGAUUUAUGAUGGUGUCCCAUGACUGAAGAUUAUGAAAAAUAAAUCACUCUUCUAGGUGAUGUAUUUCUGGUUAGAUAUGGACUAAAAUAGUUGUCUACAAGGUGUUUUUGGUUUAUAUUCUCCACUGUAUGUGAGGAUCGUCUUCAAUAUGUAUGAUUUGGAUUAAUGAAAAUAGGUUAUAUACUUUGACUG
This is a long non-coding RNA of Triticum aestivum (bread wheat), 1778 nucleotides long. RefSeq lists it as uncharacterized. The record is from RefSeq and is a predicted model, not a curated record. The transcript is spliced from 3 exons. Lineage: Eukaryota; Viridiplantae; Streptophyta; Magnoliopsida; Poales; Poaceae.